AAAAGCUGAAUAGAAGUAUAUCAAUAUUGUUGAAUGCUUUCUAUGGAUUUAUCCACCGUGUUUUAUGUUAAAUUGGGGGACUCAUUUGUGUUGCACGUUUUCUCAUUAUGUGAGUUUCUCUACAGGCCAGAAAGCAUCAAAAUAUUUUUUUAUUAUUAUUAUUUUUGACGGAAUUAUUGUGAGUUGUUGUUCUUUCCUUUUGGAAAGGAUAUGAGACAAUAAAAAUCCACAAAGAGAAAAAACUGUUAAUACAAAGACUACAGUCACUCUAAAACCUGGGUAGUGCUCUCUUGCAUCUAAACCCGUACUCGAUGAAUCCUGCAGGGAUGCAGGAGCAGCAGUGUGGGUGUGCAUGUCGGGGCACCGGGGAGACCUGCAUGCCUGCGGUAUGGCUGGUGUGGCACUACACGCCGAUGAACAAAUCCCACCGGACCACGACCCGCUCAGGUCACUCUGUGCUGCUGCCAGAGCAACCAUAGAUUGAGUUAUUCGCAUCAUCAGGAAUUUUGAACUUAUUAUUUAUCCAUAACAUGGUGCCUGACCUGAAGGACGCUCGUAUAAAAGCUACUGCUCUCAAUAAAAAAAGUUAUCUGUGUUGUUGUGCUGUGAGGUAGCUGGGAGAGCUAAUGUCUUCAAACUCUUUUUAGGUAUAUUCAGGUGUAUAUGGUGAGGUGGGAUUUGUGUUCUGUAGAUGAAGAUGAGGAAAGCUUGGAGAGGUAAAGUAUGGAGCGUCUGUUAUACCCAAAACUUUCAUCUGACAGAUGAAAAAAAGGUAAUGCAGAGUCUUUUAUUUAAUUAUUUUUUUCAUCUAUCAAAUAAUCUCUUUACUCUUCAGAAACGUGAAAGAGAAGAUAAGUAGGCCUUUAUUUCCACCAAAAAUUUUUGAACCCUUCAAAGUUUUUGACACAGGAUACAAGAAGGCACAGAUGCCAUUUCAUUUUCUUCUCCAAAUGUGCUCUGGUGAAACGCCUGUUGACCUUUUAUGGAAAAAUGGCUUCCUGAGAACAUGGUGAAUUUAUCUUCCUUUCUUUCCACUCUCUGUAUAUCUCUUGCCUUCUGUUCAUAGAGAAUAAAUUAUCUACAUACCUUCUUGGAUCUGGGAUC
This 1104-nucleotide long non-coding RNA is filed under the name Anser cygnoides (Swan goose). RNAcentral's name for it is "lncRNA (ENSACDG00005010156.1)". Lineage: Eukaryota; Metazoa; Chordata; Aves; Anseriformes; Anatidae. The record is from RNAcentral.